Musa acuminata AAA Group (dessert banana) is the source of this 3776-nucleotide RNA transcript. It is a transcript of the gene named PHD finger protein ALFIN-LIKE 2, with no coding region annotated. NCBI's taxonomy places the organism in Eukaryota, Viridiplantae, Streptophyta, Magnoliopsida, Zingiberales, Musaceae. The record is from RefSeq and is a predicted model, not a curated record. The transcript is spliced from 6 exons.
AAUUCGACCUUUAUUGCUUCUCUCUCUCUCUCUUCCUCGGCUUCUAGAUAGAUGGGAGCCGUCUUCCUCGCAUCGAUCACGAGAACACUACCACUUCGCUUGCUCUCUGCAAGCGCUCCCUCCUCCUCCGGCGAUCCAUAGUGCCGGAUCCGAACGCCCCCUGAUCUGAGACCCGCCGCGUCAUGGAAGUCGGCUCCAUCUCCUCCGCCCCCCGCACCGUGGAAGAGAUCUUUAAGGACUAUAGCAGCCGCCGCGCCGGCAUCGUCCGCGCCCUCACCCAUGAUGUCGACGAGUUCUACGCCCAGUGCGAUCCGGAGAAGGAGAACUUGUGCCUGUACGGCCACCCCAACGACUCGUGGGAGGUGAACCUCCCGGCGGAGGAGGUGCCGCCGGAGCUGCCGGAGCCAGCGCUUGGGAUUAAUUUCGCGAGGGACGGGAUGAACCGCCGCGACUGGCUCUCGCUCAUCGCCGUGCAUAGCGACUCCUGGCUCUUGUCUGUUGCUUUCUAUCUUGGGGCGCGCCUCAACCGGAACGAGAGAUUGUUGGCAGGCUGAUUUGAUCAUGGUACGAAUAGGUCAAUCCUGAUUGGCAAAGAAAGAAUUCAGGUAACUCACUCAAACAUUUUGUUGUUCCGAUUGAAUUGUGCUUUAAUUGGAUCCAGAAAUUCACAACACCUACUUUCGAUAUAGACUUAUUGAUCAAUUUGGUAGAUUACAGAAGUCAAAGAAGUUCGAAUGUCAUAAGGUCCCAACUAUUUGGGGUUAUAUGCAUGGAUUCUUUUUCUUGCCAACAACACCGUUGAGGGAAAAAUUACUUGUCAAACAAGAAGUAAUCAAAUAAUCAAUUAUCAAAUACAUCUUUAGUGUUUCUAAUAAAUUUUUCUUGACACUGCUUGUCUAAAAAGUAAUCAACAAGCAAUGUUACUUGAAGUAAUCAAAGAUGCUUGUAUCAUAAAAAGUAAAACUAUUUUAGUAUUUUUACCAGCUUUAAAAUAAAAGCAAUUUUGUUAUUUCUAUUUUUAGUCAUUUUACAAAUAACACCUCAUCUAUCCCAUCCUCUCUUUUUCUUUAGUGAUACAAGUCACUCUUUCAAUAGUCAUGCCCAUAUGUGAAUAAUUGCUUUAGAAACCAUUAAGCAGCCCCAAAAAGGCAUUCAGGUCAGAACCUUUGAUCAUUGAGCAUGAAUUCAUUUAUCUUUCCUUUUAAUUGUAUGUUAACUUAGGGGUCCAAGGCAUUAUUAAAGUUAACAGGUAAAAGAUACAUGAUGCACUACAAUCUAUCAGUUGAUAAGAAGAAAGUCCUAUUUGUGCAUAACACGUCUGGUUGCUGAUGCCAUAUGGUUUUUUUUUCAUAAAGAAACAUGCAGACAUGUUGGAAAAACAAAUUGAAAAUUUGUCACAGGUGAUAUUAGACUUUUUCAUUUUCUUGUCUGCUAGAUUCUUUCUUGUUGUUUGCAGGGUUAUGGUUUCAAAAAGAUGAUAAAGAUGGAGUUCGCUCGUAAGAUUUGACGGGUAUAGAUACACAACAAGAUAUUUAAAUGCCAAUAGUUAUUUGGUUUUGUGACUAAAAAGGUUGAUGGGAACCUGCAUAACAUACAAAAGCCUUAAAAUUUGGUCUAUUAUUUUGAGGAUAAAUUUUUUUUUAGUUGAGCUUAAGGAUUUGACUCUCGCAUAACCCUUGCCCUGCCUAUUCUUUGACCGUGGGGGGCAAUUUGAUUUUUUAUAUGCAACCUGAUUUCCUAAUUAAUUUGUGCAAGAUACCUGAACAUGUUCCAUGCAUGAAAGAGCAUGGAGACUACUAGAAGCUGCUAUAUGAUUUAGAUGGCAUAAAAGGGUCUACAGUCCUGAAUUAUGUGGAACUUGUUUUUCCGUGAGCAUACUUGGUGGUAAAGUGAAGGUAAAUUGAUCCUGGUCUGGAUCAAUAUGUUGGAUUUUUUUUAACUGCACCUAUCUACUUGCUUGACCCACUAAAACCAUUCCUAGAUUGUGCUGAUCUAAAGUUCAUGAUUAAAGCCCAUCAAUGCCCUACCUAAUGGACUGAGGUCUCAUAUUGAUUCUUUGUUAGAUACUUAGAUCAUGCCCAAUAUGCUCUCAUAAGGUAUAGACCACUUGCCGGCAACUCUAUUCGAGCACAAUAAAUAGCAUAGAAUUGCAAACAUGGAAUUUUGAGAGCUUUACUCUUCACGCUAGAUUUUGAAAGGACUUCUGUGUUAGCAAUUGAUUAAUACAUUUCUACCUGAUGUCUGUAGUCGUUUAUGUAAAUUAUGGGAGGUGUUUGAAGUGAAGGAGUGCUGUCGGAUGGGGUUUUCAUGUAUAAAGUGAUGCUCUUGGAUGAAAGGGAAGACCACAUUAUACCUGUGCAGAGUUGAUUUUGAAUGAUGCACUGAUUUUGAGUAGUUAUACACAAACUACUGCAGAAGCAUGAUGGUAUUAGUUUUGCUCAUGCAAUUAGCUGGAUGAAAAUGUGUGAAAAUCAUGGGUUUGGGGAAGUGUUGUAGCUGCUGCUUGUGUUGGAAGUCAAGCUCUGAUGCAUCUUUGUUUCAGGUCCCAGUGAAAUUCUGCAACCGCAGUUUCGUCCUACCUGUCCUUGUUUUUCACCUUGUACGUUAUAAGUUGAGAUCCAUGCAUUAUUUCAUUGCUUUAUUGUGUAUUUUUUAGUUAAAAAUUAACCCCACUUAAUAAUAACUGAUAUGAUAUAAAAAUCUUUGUUUUCUCAUUACUGAUAUACCAGGCACUGGAUCAUUCUUUAUUGUCAUAAAAUAGAUACAUCAUAUGCACAUGCAUAGCCUGAAUCAUUUAGAUUUAACCUUUGAUUGGAUGUCUCUAAGAAAUAGAAGUGACUGAAAUAACACUGAGGUCAGUGUCUCUCAGAAUGCAAUAAAUAAUAUGUACUGUUCCUACUCGUUUUUUUACUAGGGAAGUCAGAAUAUCUCUCUGAAUUUCUGGAUAUCAUAUUAAUUUAUUCAAGGAAAGAAAGAAUGAUGCUCGUUUCUUUUGUCUGUUUGAUUUCUUUGUAUGCUGGUUACCAUGCAAGAAUGUGAAGUCAAGAGUGUUUGGAACGUUGAAUAUUAGCUAUUUUUAUAUUGCAUAAUGGGAGUGCUAAUUUGAUUUUUAUAUUGAAUAGCUAUUUUUAUCUUGGUAUUCUUUUUUUUGUAGUCUUUGUAGAACCUAAAUGGUCAGACCUUCUAUGUUAUAGCCAAACUCACUUAGCAAUCCAAGACUGAGUUAAUUGGCUGUAUGCAACGGUAAAGUUAUAUAAUAAGCUGUCUGCUAAUAUGGUUUUUGAUUGAGUAAUUUGGUUGCUGUUGUUUCUAUCAUGUGCUCCAUCUUGAUAUAGAGAAAAUUUGCUAACUGAUGCACAUGACUGUCUCUACAUCCAGAGGUUUCAGUCUGGCACUUAAUCUGAAUAGAAGUUGUUCUGCAAUAUGAUAACACUAAGCCUAUUGCACUCAUGUGUGAAGCAUGGAGACGUUAGUCAGUGCCAGGUGAAGACUAGGUAGCAUGCGGAGUAUGCAAUGUCGAAGCCUAAACAAGUGAACUGUGCAACCUUUGUUUGGAGAUCAGCAUGUCGUGAACUUUUCCUCUGGAUUUGCAGUUUUCAUAAUGAUAUUUUUCACCAAUGCCUUGAGCUCGAAGGAUGAAACGCUUGUUUAGCAUGAUCAAUGAACUUCCAACCGUCUUUGAAGUGGUCUCGGACAGGAGGCGAUCGAAAGAAAAGUCUGGCGUGGACAGUGCAAGCAAAUCUAAACUCUCAACCAAGCGAUCAAGCGAAGGACAG